GAUGAACGCUAGCGGCAGGCCUAACACAUGCCAGUCGAGGGAGAAGCCCUUUCGGGGGCCGAAACCGGCGCACGGAUGCGUAACGCGUAUGCAACCUACCUUUCACAGGGGGAUAGCCCGAAGAAAUUUGGAUUAAUACCCCAUAAUAUUAUUGGAUGGCAUCAUUUGAUAAUUAAAACUGCGGUGGUGAAAGAUGGGCAUGCGUCCUAUUAGCUAGUUGGAGUGGUAACGGCACCCCAAGGCUACGAUAGGUAGGGGUCCUGAGAGGGAGAUCCCUCACACUGGUACUGAGACAGGGACCAGACUCCUACGGGAGGCAGCAGUGAGGAAUAUUGGUCAAUGGUCGGAAGACUGAACCAGCCAUGCCGCGUGCAGGAAGAAUGCCUUAUGGGUUGUAAACUGCUUUUAUAUGGGAAGAAUAAGGCGUACGUGUACGUUGAUGACGGUACCAUAUGAAUAAGCAUCGGCUAACUCCGUG
RNAcentral lists this ribosomal RNA (478 nucleotides) under uncultured bacterium. RNAcentral's name for it is "partial 16S ribosomal RNA". It matches the Rfam family "Bacterial small subunit ribosomal RNA", at positions 28 to 507 of the family's 1533-position model. The record is from RNAcentral.